CCAUUCUGUUAACUUGGGGCAGAGAACUAAGUCUGUAAUAUUUGUUUUAGGUCUUCGGAAGGAAGGGAGAUAGUUCAAAAAACAACAACAACAAAGGAAUGGGUGUCGAAAUCCGAGUGCUUAUACUUGUUGGCAUCGCAUCGUUGUGCCUUGCCCCUGUUUCGUAUGCGGCUACAGGGACUGCUACGUUUUACACACCCCCUUACGUUCCUUCUUCAUGCAAUGGCUUUCAAAACGAUGGUGUCAUGAUCGCCGCAGCAAGCGACGUGAUAUGGGACAAUAGGGCAGCAUGCGGGAGAAUGUACAGCGUUCGUUGCACGGGUCCUACGAACCAAGGUGUGCCACAGCCUUGCACGGGUCAAAGCGUUGUGGUUAAGGUUGUGGACUACUGCCCACCUGGCUGCGCUUCAACCAUUGAUCUUUCCCAAGAAGCUUUCACCGUGAUCGCGGACCCCAAUGCCGGAAAAAUCAACAUUGAAUAUAACCAGGUCUAAGGGUCUACUCGAUUGAGAGAGCUUUGGAAGGGGGAGUGGCCUCUAAUUAAUAUCCUAAAUAAGAAGCAUAUCUUGCAAUAAUUGUAUGGUUACAUGGGUGAUGUUGCGAUGCUUGUGUUGCUAUAUGUGAUGUUUGUGUAAUUAUUAAAUCGAAUAAAUUCAAGGAUCCGUUUUAUGUA
Molecule: RNA transcript, 673 nt
Organism: Rhododendron vialii
Lineage: Eukaryota; Viridiplantae; Streptophyta; Magnoliopsida; Ericales; Ericaceae
Gene name: EG45-like domain containing protein
Exons: 4
Source: RefSeq, a predicted model, not a curated record